AUAUCAAUAAGCGGAGGAAAAGAAACUAACAAGGAUUCCCCUAGUAACGGCGAGUGAAGCGGGAAGAGCACAAAUUUAAAAUCUACCUGGUUUUCAGGUCGAGUUGUAAUUUGAAGAUACGUUUUUGAUGUUCCUGGUUGGACUAAAUCCUUUGGGAUAAGGUAUCAUAGAGGGUGAGAAUCCCGUGUAUACCAACCAUAGGGAUGUUAUUUAAUAACGUUUCUAAGAGUCGAGUUGUUUGGGAAUGCAGCUCUAAAUGGGUGGUAAAUUUCACCUAAUGCUAAAUAUAAGCGAGAGACCGAUAGCGAACAAGUACAGUGAUGGAAAGAUGAAAAGAACUUUGAAAAGAGAGUUAAAUAGUACGUGAAAUUGUUGAAAGGGAAACGAUUGAAGUCAGUCAUGCCGGCGGGAAUCAACUUAGGGGAAACUCUAGGUGCAUUUCUUCGUUUGGUAGGUUAGCGUCGAUUUUGGAUGCCAUAAAAUAAUUGGGGGAAGGUAGCUCCUUCGGGAGUGUUAUAGCCCUUGGUAGAUGUGAUGUCUGGGAUCGAGGAUUGCAACGGAUACCCUUCGGGGCUAGCCGUCUGAUCUCUAAUUGGUGUUGGGUUACGGACAGCAUGCUGACCGUGAUCUAAUUGCUGGUUAAAAGGUUAGAGCGUGCAUAAAUUCGUUAAGGACGCUGACGUAAUGGCUUUAAACGACCCGUCUUGAAACACGGACCAAGGAGUCUAACAUGUAUGCGAGUGUUAGGGUAUUAAACCCAGACGCGAAAUGAAAGUGAGUGUAGGUGGGAUCCUUUAUUGGAGCACCAUCGACCGAUCUUGAGAUUUUUCGAUAGAAUUGAGUUAGAGCAUACCUGUUGGGACCCGAAAGAUGGUGAACUAUGCCUGAAUAGAGCGAAGCCAGAGGAAACUCUGGUGGAGGCUCGUAGCGGUUCUGACGUGCAAAUCGAUCGUCAAAUUUGGGUAUAGGGGCGAAAGACUAAUCGAACCAUCUAGUAGCUGGUUCCUGCCGAAGUUUCCCUCAGGAUAGCAGAAACUCAUUAACAGUUUUAUGAGGUAAAGCGAAUGAUUAGAGGCCUUAGGGUUGAAACAGCCUUAACCUAUUCUCAAACUUUAAAUAUGUAAGAAGCUAACAGGUUACUUAAUUGAACCUGGGCAAUCGAAUGAGAGUUUCUAGUGGGCCAUUUUUGGUAAGCAGAACUGGCGAUGCGGGAUGAACCGAACGUAAGGUUAAGGUGCCCAAAUUCACGCUCAUUUAGACACCACAAAAGGUGUUAGUUCAUCUAGACAGCAGGACGGUGGCCAUGGAAGUCGGAAUCCGCUAAGGAGUGUGUAACAACUCACCUGCCGAAUGAACUAGCCCUGAAAAUGGAUGGCGCUCAAGCGUGAUACCUAUACCUUACCGUCAGGGUUAAAUUGAAGCUCUGACGAGUAGGCAGGCGUGAAGGUCGUGAAGAAGUCAUGGGUGUAAACCUUGAUGGAACGGUCUUUAGUGCAGAUCUUGGUGAUAGUAGCAAAUAUUCAAAUGAGAACUUUGAAGACUGAAGUGGAGAAAGGUUCCAUGUGAACAGUGAUUGGACAUGGGUUAGUCGAUCCUAAGAGAUAGGGGAAUUCCGUUUUAAAGGGGACUAUUUUUAGUCACACCUAUCGAAAGGGAAGCAGGUUAAUAUUCCUGCACCUGAAUGCGGAUAAUUAAUACGGUAACGUUAACUGAACUUGGUUACGUCUGUGAGGGCUUCGGGAAGAGUUAUCUUUUCUUUUUAACUAUCUUUUAAACCUUGGAAUUUCGGAUUAACCGGAGAUAAGGUAUAAAGGUAGGAAGAGCUUGACACUUAAGUCAGGUCCGAUGCGUUCUCAAGGACCCUUGAAAAACCAAGGGAAAGAUUUAUUUUCGCGUCAGGUCGUACUCAUAACCGC
Molecule: ribosomal RNA, 1916 nt
Filed under: Gigaspora margarita
Lineage: Eukaryota; Fungi; Glomeromycota; Glomeromycetes; Diversisporales; Gigasporaceae
Description: eukaryotic LSU rRNA
Rfam family: Eukaryotic large subunit ribosomal RNA
Source: RNAcentral